CUCAGAAGUCAGAAGCAGCCCAUAAUUGGAAUCUAUCUAGAUCUAGAUCUAGAUUAAUUUCAAACUUUAAUUCAGAGCUAGAGCUCUCUAUGGCUGUUACUCCUACUAGUUAUAUAGUGAAUGGACAAUGGGGUCAGUGGUCAGUCUGGACCUGUAGCAAGCCUUGUGGUUUUGGGAAAAUAAUCAGGACAAGGCUAUGUGACAGCCCGAUCCCAAGCUUGGGUGGACUGAAUUGUCAACCUCCUAAAGACAAUAUACAGUCUAGUCCCGAUGACUGCAGGCUAUCAAUAUGUCCUGAAGAUUGUUGGCCGGGUACCUGGGGGGUCAACUGCAAGUUCAGGUGUAAUCAAUGUAAAAGCGACUGCAACAAGUUGAAUGGAAGAUGUGACACCUGCGAGCCGGGCUACUACAACCCGUCCUACGGGCCCUUCAAUUGUUCUACAGAAUGUCCAGCUAUGACCUAUGGCUUUGAAUGCCGGGGAUCGUGCUAUAGCAAGUGCAGCAAAGAAUGUUUGGACAAACAGCUGGGCACGUGUUCUACUUUGACUGGAGUUCCUUUCCUGGUGGCGACCUACCACUACUACUUCCUGGUGCUGCUCAUCAUUCCCGUGAUGACCGUCGUCUCAGAGCUGAUCAGGCUCAAGACAUCGGGCAGUGUGGAUGACGGCGAGGAUGUCCAGGACUAUUGGGGCUACCCUUUCUACCGUCGGGCCAGCGAGACCACAAGGAAGUUCUAUCCAGACGACCACUUGGAUGACUUCCGUGACGACGACGAUGAUUUGGAUGAUUUUGACAUCGACGAUCUGGAUUUGUAUGGAGAGGACUAUCUGGAUGAGGUUGAUGAUGUAAAAGUUGACCCACAGGUUGUGCCUAUGGAAGAACCGACCAAGCAGGUCGUCAUUAUUCCUCCUAUUAAAAAGGCAGGUCAAAUUAAGUGAAAUAAAGAAACGUUGGGGCAAUGGCCGAUACUGAAGUGUGACUGACAAUUAGGACACAACUAGUCAGAUUCUCUUUCAAAAUCUUUUGAAAAAUAAACGAGAGACAUGCCCCCCCCCCCCCGGAAAGGUCAAAGGCUACACAGUG
Biomphalaria glabrata is the source of this 1083-nucleotide RNA transcript. It is a transcript of the gene named platelet endothelial aggregation receptor 1-like, with no coding region annotated. NCBI's taxonomy places the organism in Eukaryota, Metazoa, Mollusca, Gastropoda, Planorbidae. The transcript has 11 exons. The record is from RefSeq and is a predicted model, not a curated record.